RNAcentral lists this non-coding RNA (64 nucleotides) under Pelodictyon phaeoclathratiforme BU-1. RNAcentral describes it as "Lnt RNA". It matches the Rfam family "Lnt RNA". The record is from RNAcentral. Lineage: Bacteria; Pseudomonadati; Chlorobiota; Chlorobiia; Chlorobiales; Chlorobiaceae.
CAGGAAAAAAUUUCAUGGAGAUUAUUCCUGUUAAGUAACAGAGUGGAAGAAAUUUAAAGAAUAA